Austrofundulus limnaeus is the source of this 223-nucleotide long non-coding RNA. RefSeq lists it as uncharacterized. The record is from RefSeq and is a predicted model, not a curated record. The transcript has 3 exons. NCBI's taxonomy places the organism in Eukaryota, Metazoa, Chordata, Actinopteri, Cyprinodontiformes, Rivulidae.
CUCCUCUAAAUGCUCCUCAGGUGAAGCUCCUGAAAAACCAAAGAGAAACUCAAAACUUCCAUCAGAGACAGUAGUCCUGCUGGUUCUCUGUGUCCUGCUGGCUGCUGCUCUCAUCAUUAUUAUCAGACUCUUUUUUGUCAUUUUGGUGAGCAAUGAAUCUAUCCAAACCCUGAGAGAGGAGAAUGAAGCUCUGAGGAAAAACCUCUCAGAAAUAACCUGGGGA